This 253-nucleotide ribosomal RNA is filed under the name uncultured bacterium. RNAcentral's name for it is "partial 16S ribosomal RNA". It matches the Rfam family "Bacterial small subunit ribosomal RNA", at positions 524 to 776 of the family's 1533-position model. The record is from RNAcentral.
UACAGAGGGUGCAAGCGUUGUUCGGAAUUAUUGGGCGUAAAGCGCGUGUAGGCGGUUUUUUAAGUCUGAUGUGAAAUCCCUUGGCUCAACCAAGGACGUGCAUUGGAUACUGAAUAACUAGAGGACGAGAGAGGUGAAUGGAAUUCCCGGUGUAGGAGUGAAAUCCGUAGAUAUCGGGAGGAACACCAGAGGCGAAGGCGGUUCACUGGCUCGUUACUGACGCUGAGACGCGAAAGCGUGGGGAGCAAACAGG